This 63-nucleotide transfer RNA is filed under the name Triatoma vitticeps. RNAcentral describes it as "tRNA-Asp". It matches the Rfam family "tRNA". From Rfam's summary of the family: Transfer RNA (tRNA) molecules are approximately 80 nucleotides in length. Their secondary structure includes four short double-helical elements and three loops (D, anti-codon, and T loops). Lineage: Eukaryota; Metazoa; Arthropoda; Insecta; Hemiptera; Reduviidae. The record is from RNAcentral.
AAGAGGUUAGUUUAAGCAAAACAUUAGACUGUCAGACUAAAGAUACCAUUUAAGUACUUCUUA